This is a non-coding RNA of Callithrix jacchus (white-tufted-ear marmoset), 3601 nucleotides long. NCBI's taxonomy places the organism in Eukaryota, Metazoa, Chordata, Mammalia, Primates, Cebidae. The record is from RefSeq and is a predicted model, not a curated record.
UAUAAUUUUUCUUGCUUGGGAUUGGCUCUCUCUCUAAGGAAGAACUUUUCCAUCUAGAAGAUCAUAAUUAAACCGGUUCUAGGGCCCAAAAUAGCUAAUUGCAGGCCCCACGACCUGUAUGGGCAUUUUCCUAUAAUGGAAAAUGGGGUUGGAGGAGGAGGCCCGGGUCUUGUGGGUAUUGUUCCAGCUUCAGCCACGUGGCCCGCCUUCUUCGGAUUAAUGUGCAUGAAGGCCCCUCCCUAGAAGUUUACGCUUCUAGGGCAAUUUUGUAAUCUGGCCUGUGUAAAUUGUACUUUUGCUAGGGAAUAUUUGUACUCAUCUCCCUAGCCUCACUGGCCUCAUCAAGGACUCAUUGGUGUGAGGAUACCCAACUCAACAGCCCUUCAUGCCUCUGUGGUAGUCACUGGAGGUCAUGCAGACAGUGAGUGAGUCCCAUGAUGCUGGUAGCAUGAUUUAAAUCUGUUACAUGGGAGGCCCCCCCGAAAAGAUGAUCACACAUCUUGGGCACACGGUCGAGGUACUGACUGUGAUGCCUCAGACCCGGUACCUUAUCUGUGGGAUGCCGCAGAUGGAGCAGUUAUAAUUAAUAACUGGGGAUGCUGGCAUCCCUUGCAUUCGAUAUCUGAUGGGUGCUAAUCUUCCCAAACUCAAGUCCUUAUUAAAAUGUAUACUGGAAAAUUGGGACCAAUUUGACACUCGAUCUUUGAAGAAGUGGCUCAUUUUUUUCUGCCAAACAGAGUGGCUGAAAUACCCCCUGUCAAGUGGAAAAAUCAGGCUUCCUAAGGGAAAUAUAGAUUAUGACACUAUUCUACAAUUAGACCUGUUUUGUAAAAGUGAGGGUAAAUGGUUUGAGGUGCCCUAUGUGCAGUAUUUCUUUUCCCUAAGGAAUAAGCCUCAGUUCUGUCAGGCCUGUGCCCCAUACCCUACUCAGCCCUCCUCAGGACUACCUCCAUAUGUGGGACUCCCUGUGGCAACAACCUCCACCAAGGCCAACCAGAGCUCCUGCCAACUGGAGCCAGGAAGGGCUGAGAUGGCCAGGGCAUCUCAGGCUACCAGGAUGCCCCCACUCUGCUCCCUACAGGCAGUAGGGGAGAAUUUGGCCCGAAUAAGAGACCAGGAGGAACAGGCUGAAAGGAACAGGAGAGAUGAGAGAAAAGCUGCUGCUUCAGUCAUGGCUUUCAGGCAAGUGGACCCCAGGGCUCAAAUGAGGGAAAGGCUUGGGUUAGCCACCAGUCUGGCAGAGCUUGUUACCAGUGUGGUCUGAAGGGACAUUUUACAAGAAAUUGUCCCCAGAGGAAUGGACCCCCACCUUGUCCAUACCCACUUUGCCAAGGCAAUCACUGGAAAGCACAAUGUCCCUGGGAACAAAGGUCCCCAGGGCCUAAGCUGUCUAACCAGAUGACCCAAUGGCAGGACUGAGGGUGCCUGGAGCAAGUGCCAGCAUGAGCCGUCACCCUUACAGGGCCCCAGGUAAAGCCAACCAUAGAGGUCCAGGAAGUUAAUCUUCUCCUAGACACUGGCAUGUCCUUCUCAUAUUUCUGUUCUGCCAUGGAGAUUCGGUGCUUAUUAAAUCUCCCCCAGACUCUCCCUCUCUAGGCCCAUCUUGGGAAGGAUCAUUUUCAGUCACUCUGUCUACUCCAACGACAGUUACGGUGCUGGGAAUUGACUCAUGGAUUCAUCACACUCGGCUGAAGCCUUGGACGCCUCCUGAAGAAAGUCACAGACCCUCCACUCCACAGCUUGAGGUUCCAGGAGAUGACCCUUCAUACACCUGCGAGGCAUCAGAGGAUCUGCAUCUGCUCUUCCGACAAUAUCCCCAGGAAAGUAACCACACAAGAGCCUGAUUUAGAUCCUGGUGUUAACAGGGCUAUAACGCUAUGUCUCAAACUCCAAUUAUUCCUUUAAUGAAAGGGGGAUGGUUGAAAAUUUGGAAAACUGGGUGCUGAUGUUAGGGAAGUUACUACCUCUAUUCAGUUUCUAUAAGCUACCUCAGGAGUUAUUUAAUAACAUAAAAAUGUUGCUAAUUCUUUCUGCAAAACAGCUUAACUCUUUAGCUGCCAUAGUUCUUCAAAGUAAAAGAGCCCUAAAAUCUGCUAACAACAGAGAGGGAGGGAACAUGUCUCUUUCUAGGAAAAAUGCUGCUAUUUGGUAAACCACGUAAGUGUUGUUUUAAACAUAGUUGAAUAACUCAGGAACCAAACACAGGGCUAAAAACCUUCCAGAAACAGUAUCGUGAAGCUUGUUUAACAACUGGCUGUUCUGACUCUAUUCUCUCCUAGGCUCGUUUAUAACCAUCCUAUAUUUGGUGGCCUCUGGGCCUCUCGUCUUUAACCACCUUAUCACAUUUGUUUCUUCUAGAACCAUAAGGUCACAAAUAAUCCUGUCACUGGAACCCUGAAUGUCCUUGGCUCACGAGCUCUAUCAUGGACCUCAGGAUCAACCUGCGCUCCUAAAAGGCUCCAUCUGCAGGAAGCCUCAUCUGCCACUCUAUGCGCAUUUCAGCAGGAAGUAGCUACAGAACGAUCAAUGCCUGUGUUCCAACAGAAGUCCACAAGGGGGCGUAGUUUCUCAGACAGGAACUUCCCAAGGACAUGCCAUACCUGCCUUCCCCCAAGUGUGUAAUAAAGUUACUGAAAUCUAUCAAGAUAACCUUAACAAAUUAAAUUGUUUUCUACAACAUGGGAAGACAAGGAUAAAAGAAGACAAGAACAAUUUCAGUAUUUAAAAUAAGAAAAAAUUUGGAUCUAAAGUGGCAAAAAGUACAAUAUGUUCCUAAAAUGGUUUGAUAAAAUGAAUGUUUUGUCCAACUUUUGGCUUUUGUGUGGAAAGAGGAAAAAUAUGCAGUGUACACAUUGUAUGUAAUGGUCUGAAUGUUCUUUAGAAAAACUAUGUUAAUGUAAGAAUAUUUUCUGCUGAGUUAAUUAGACACAAGCUUCUUAUUUUCUACCUUGGAUGAGAGGAAUCAGGCCACAAUGAACUCUGACAUUUGUUUCAACUUCAGUUACCUACAGCCAAUGUGCAUUAACCUCAGAACCAUGGUGAGGCAUUUAUAAGGGAUAGCAAAUUUCUCUCAUGAUCUUUUAAGAAAAAUUGCAUUUUCAUAUAUAAUACUUCUACAGAACUAUAUCUGUAAUUUUAAACAAAUUUCUUUUGAUCCUGAAUAAAAGUUCUGUGCCUUCCUCUGGAAUGAUCAUCUGCUUUUCAUACCCAUUGGAUGCAGUUUCAAGUCUCACCAGCUCUUCAGCGUCCAUGUGUAAUAGCAAUGAGAAGCAAGCACUUACCUAGCACUAGCACGCCCCUCAGUACUAUUGAAAGGGCUUUACAUAUGUUAAACAUUGUAAAGUCAUUUAAAAUCAUUUCUUAAUUUUAAAAACACAUUAUUUUUUCAAAAGCCGCACUGGCUUUGUACAUAGUACAAAACAUAAAUAUUUUAAACAGUAAAAAUUAAGAGGACAAUUUUUAAAGUUUAGGCAGAACAUGUAAAAAAAUUCUGAAAGAAUUUUUGUUUUAUCUUCAAUGUAUGUUAUUCCAUAAACCAUAGCUGUAACAAAUGUGUUGGCACAUAGACAGUAAUUAAUAGAAAACAAAUUUUUUUUGUAUU